CUACGGGAGGCUCCAGUGAGGAAUAUUGCACAAUGGGGGGAACCCUGAUGCAGCAACGCCGCGUGGAGGAUGACGCAUUUCGGUGUGUAAACUCCUUUUAUAUGUCAAGAAAAUGACGGUAGCAUAUGAAUAAGCACCGGCUAACUCCGUGCCAGCAGCCGCGGUAAUACGGAGGGUGCAAGCGUUACUCGGAAUCACUGGGCGUAAAGGACGCGUAGGCGGGCUUGUAAGUCAGGUGUGAAAUCCUACAGCUUAACUGUAGAACUGCACUUGAAACUACGAGCCUAGAGUAUGGGAGGGGGAGAUGGAAUUAGUGGUGUAGGGGUAAAAUCCGUAGAUAUCACUAGGAAUACCUAAAGCGAAGGCGAUCUGCUGGAACAUUACUGACGCUAAGGCGUGAAAGCGUGGGGAGCAAACAGGAUUAGAUACCCUAGUAGUC
This 439-nucleotide ribosomal RNA is filed under the name uncultured bacterium. RNAcentral's name for it is "partial 16S ribosomal RNA". It matches the Rfam family "Bacterial small subunit ribosomal RNA", at positions 339 to 795 of the family's 1533-position model. The record is from RNAcentral.